This 468-nucleotide ribosomal RNA is filed under the name uncultured bacterium. Its description in RNAcentral is "partial 16S ribosomal RNA". It matches the Rfam family "Bacterial small subunit ribosomal RNA", at positions 28 to 507 of the family's 1533-position model. The record is from RNAcentral.
GAUGAACGCUGGCGGCGUGCUUAACACAUGCAAGUCGAACGGAAAGGCCAGUGCUUGCACUGGUACUCGAGUGGCGAACGGGUGAGUAACACGUGGGGGAUCUGCCCUGCACUUCGGGAUAAGCCUGGGAAACUGGGUCUCAUACCGGAUAGGACAAUGGUUUGGAUGCCGUUGUGGAAAGGUUUUUCGGGGUGGGAUGAGCUCGCGGCCUAUCAGCUUGUUGGUGGGGUAAUGGCCUACCAAGGCGUCGACGGGUAGCCGGCCUGAGAGGGUGUACGGCCACAUUGGGACUGAGAUACGGCCCAGACUCCUACGGGAGGCAGCAGUGGGGAAUAUUGCACAAUGGGCGCAAGCCUGAUGCAGCGACGCCGCGUGGGGGAUGACGGCCUUCGGGUUGUAAACUCCUUUCGCUAGGGACGAAGCGUAUUUGUGACGGUACCUGGAGAAGAAGCACCGGCUAACUACGUG